Lolium rigidum is the source of this 1022-nucleotide long non-coding RNA. RefSeq lists it as uncharacterized. Lineage: Eukaryota; Viridiplantae; Streptophyta; Magnoliopsida; Poales; Poaceae. The transcript has 4 exons. The record is from RefSeq and is a predicted model, not a curated record.
AACGCCGACGACGCCGGCGGCUUCUCCAUCGCACAGCCAGCCAGCCUGCAGCAACUAGCCAAGGACGAGUCCUUCCUGUCCCGCUGAGGCCGCACCUGACGGCCACCGACGGCGCCUCAGAACCUGCCGCCGCGAACGCCGCCGACGCCGAGGCUCCUAGCACCGUCAGCUCCUUCUGCCAUCGACUUCUCCUGAAUUGCACUCUGUGUGUGCAUUGCGGCUGCUGACUUUUGGGUGUUGUGGCUGGAUUUGGAAUAAUUCUGUGGGGGAAACGGAUCAUGUGGUUGACAAGUGAAAAGGCAUCGUGCAUGUUUAAAUUAAGAUCAAUCGCUGGAGAGUAUUAAUGAGGAAGUGGAUUUUGGUGUAACCAAUUGUUUUGGGUGACAAGAGUGUUUUCACCCAAUCCCCUUUGAAAAAUACUCUCAAAGGGGAUUGAAUCGAAGUAUUCGCCAUGGUAUCCAAGAUGUCAGCAGUGGUUGUAUCUGUGGUCGUGCUAGCAGUCCUCUUCAGUUAUGGUACCGAGGCAGACAUCUCCAAGUGUAAGUUUUACCAAGUCAACCUCAGGCCCUGUAAUAAUCAGACACAAUGUUUGGAUCUGUGCGUACACCAGAAGUACCAAAGUGGGUCGUGUGGUUUUAUUGGUACUCAACUUGAUACUGUUUGCUACUGUUACAACUGUGCGGAUGAGACAACGACACUUCCGCUGCGAGGGGAGACAAGUGGUGCUUACAUGCUAAAGUCUCCCAUGGAAAGAUUAAUGCUCUUGGUGAGGUCGUCUUUAUUUGUACCGAAACAGCUUGGUGAUUGAUAAGAACUCUGUAUCAUUGUAAGAAUAUUGAUGCAAAUUUCAACCUAGAGAACUGCCAACUUAGCCAGGUUCUUCUAUUCCCCUCCUAUAAACUCCGCCGUCUCUCCUCUAUAUCUACUCUUUUGCUGUUUGGUUCCCGGAAAAAAACAAGGGAAGAAUUGAAAAAUUAAGAGAUGCUAUAGAGGGAACUAUGAUUGUCCUUGAUUCAACUACA